Molecule: ribosomal RNA, 465 nt
Filed under: Vreelandella stevensii
Lineage: Bacteria; Pseudomonadati; Pseudomonadota; Gammaproteobacteria; Oceanospirillales; Halomonadaceae
Description: partial 16S ribosomal RNA
Rfam family: Bacterial small subunit ribosomal RNA
Source: RNAcentral
CCUACGGGCGGCAGCAGUGGGGAAUAUUGGACAAUGGGGGGAACCCUGAUCCAGCCAUGCCGCGUGUGUGAAGAAGGCCCUCGGGUUGGAAAGCACUUUCAGUGAGGAAGAACGCCUGGUGGUUAAUACCCAUCAGGAAAGACAUCACUCACAGAAGAAGCACCGGCUAACUCCGUGCCAGCAGCCGCGGUAAUACGGAGGGUGCGAGCGUUAAUCGGAAUUACUGGGCGUAAAGCGCGCGUAGGUGGCUUGAUAAGCCGGUUGUGAAAGCCCCGGGCUCAACCUGGGAACGGCAUCCGGAACUGUCAAGCUAGAGUGCAGGAGAGGAAGGUAGAAUUCCCGGUGUAGCGGUGAAAUGCGUAGAGAUCGGGAGGAAUACCAGUGGCGAAGGCGGCCUUCUGGACUGACACUGACACUGAGGUGCGAAAGCGUGGGUAGCAAACAGGAUUAGAUACCCGAGUAGUC